AAUAAAAUGGCUGAUUAAAGCGAUAAAUUGUAAAUUUAUUCAUGAAUUUUUUUUCUUUUAUUA
Molecule: transfer RNA, 63 nt
Filed under: Empria pallimacula
Lineage: Eukaryota; Metazoa; Arthropoda; Insecta; Hymenoptera; Tenthredinidae
Description: tRNA-Tyr
Source: RNAcentral